CAUUGUGAAAACAUCGCAGGUGAUGUGUAUACGACUCUCUCAUUUAGCGUAAAUGAAAUUAGCCGUCAGGGAUUCGGCCUUUCUGCGGGAUUCAUGCAAUGGUGAACAUUGGACAAGUGGGGCACCCGUGAUCCAGCCAUGGCGUUAAUUUGACGACAGCGUUCGAUAGGCAAAGCACGUUCAGUGAAGAUGAACGCCUGGCUGGAAUUACCGGGUAGGAAAUCCAUCACUCUCAGAAGAAGCACGCACUUCAUCCGUGCCAGCAGCCGGGGUAAUACGGAGGGUGCAAGCGUUAAUCCCGAUUACUAGCAUUUCACCGCUACACCGACUUGAUAAGCCGGUUGUGAAAGCCCCGGGCUCAACGUUGGAACGGCAUCUGGAAGUGUCAGCCUGGGGUGCUCGCAAGGAAGGUAGCAUUCCACGUGUAGCGGUGAAAUGCGUAGAGAUUGGGAGGAAUACCAGCACCGAAGGCGGCAUUGCGGAUGGACACUGACAGUUAGGUGCGAAAUCGUGGGUAGCAAACAUGUUUCGAUACGGGUGUUGUCCACUCGGUAAUCGUCGUCGACCAACGUGCGGGUGCCUAGGAGGGCCUUCGGCGCACACAACGCGAUAAGUGAUCCGGGUGGGGAGCACGGCCCCAUGUCCCCACUCAACGAACUGUCGGA
Molecule: ribosomal RNA, 665 nt
Filed under: uncultured bacterium
Lineage: Bacteria
Description: bacterial SSU rRNA
Rfam family: Bacterial small subunit ribosomal RNA
Source: RNAcentral